Long non-coding RNA from Astatotilapia calliptera (eastern happy), 1251 nucleotides. The record is from Ensembl. Lineage: Eukaryota; Metazoa; Chordata; Actinopteri; Cichliformes; Cichlidae.
ACCUUUAUGGCUGCGCAUUAAAAACAUUCAUUAAAAGGACAUUAGUGAUGUGUGCUAGUGCACGUGUAGAGAUGAGAUUUAUGGACUAAGCGCUGUUCUCUCAUUGAAUUAAUGUACAAUGAGUCAUACAUCAUCUCUCAGUCUCCUCCAGCCCAAUAUCCAUUUGUAGCAUUUUUCAGAGGAACAGGAAUGGGGAAAAGGAGGCGCAACAUCAAUUUGUCACCAUGCAAACAGCCACAGCUCUCAGCCAUAUGUUGCCUUGAACAACCCGCACGCUGAGGCUGGAGACCGCGGAGGAUGCUCUGUGAAGAGGGAGUUGAGUUGAAACCGGAGCCAAUCAUCCCGCCCUGUCUGCUGUGUCCACAGACAGCCUGGGUCUCUCGUGGGGCCCACCCAGCUGCCAUGUACUCAUUUGUCACACUGGGAGGAAGAGACCGCUGAUUCUACGAGCCAUGGAGGGUGUUGCUAGGGAGAACAUGGAUGGUUUGGCCACAGCAUUUUCAAGUGCCUCCAGUGUUCCAUAUUUCCUGACUGACCCAGAGAUCCUCAUUCCUCUGCAGGCUAGUACUGUUGACAAUGCUGGUGAGCAACUAGAUGCUGACUUCGAUUUUGAUGGCAUCGUAAUCGAACCGAGAUGGCUGGAAAGGUUGAAGCUGUUGUUCUCAAAGUUCAACCUUUCUCUCUACCGAAUCCAACAGCUGCGGAAUUCUUGGCAUUUGAUCAAGAAACAUUUUGAUCUAACCAAGUUUUCCAAGGAAGGCUUGGAAGUCCUACACAAGGUUCGAGGCAUCGACCUUGUUGAGCUGGAUGAAGGAUUUAAAUUGCAUGUUGUUGCAAUUCACCGAUCCCUUGUUAGGGUUGACAAAGCCUGUCAGUCCCCACAGAAACCAUUGAUCUCAUCAAUGGUAUGAUGAUCAACUUUGUGGAGAAUCUUAAAUUGUUCUGCUCGCUCUUCAGAAACUUGAAUGUAUGCCUGGUAGAAUGCCCUGCAUGGAUUACAGCUUAGUUUGUAACUGUGUGCUUGGUGUGGCUGAAGAAAUUGCUCAUCAACUUUACUGUUGCGGUGAGGACCUGCAGAUGGCGAGGCAUUGCAACACUUUCCAAUUAAUGUGUUCUUGAGGAGGAAAAGUGUCUUCACUGGUGCUUUGCUAACACUGUCAAUAAAGUCUUGAUGUGUAAGGUGAUAUGGUGUGUUAUGGAGAGAUUGUGUCACUGCAGUCCGGGAGUUCACAUCGUACUGCUGCUCUGCCC